UCGAGCGAUAAGCACCUUUCGGGGUGUGGACAGCGGCGGACGGGUGAGUAUCGCGUGGGAACCUACCUAUCAGUACGGAACAACAGUUAGAAAUGACUGCUAAUACCGUGUACGCCCUUUUGGGGAAAGAUUCAUCGCUGAUAGAUGGGCCCGCGUUAGAUUAGCUAGAUGGUGAGGUAAUGGCUCACCAUGGCGACGAUCUAUAGCUGGUUUGAGAGGAUGGCCAGCCACACUGGGACUGAGACACGGCCCAGACUCC
RNAcentral lists this ribosomal RNA (259 nucleotides) under unidentified marine bacterioplankton. Its description in RNAcentral is "partial 16S ribosomal RNA". It matches the Rfam family "Bacterial small subunit ribosomal RNA", at positions 62 to 339 of the family's 1533-position model. The record is from RNAcentral.